This 795-nucleotide ribosomal RNA is filed under the name uncultured bacterium. Its description in RNAcentral is "bacterial SSU rRNA". It matches the Rfam family "Bacterial small subunit ribosomal RNA", at positions 8 to 796 of the family's 1533-position model. The record is from RNAcentral.
AGAGUUUGAUCCUGGCUCAGAUUGAACGCUGGCGGAAUGCUUUACACAUGCAAGUCGAACGGCAGCACGGGUGCUUGCACCUGGUGGCGAGUGGCGAACGGGUGAGUAAUGCGUCGGAACGUACCGAGUAAUGGGGGAUAACGCAGCGAAAGUUGUGCUAAUACCGCAUACGCCCUCCGGGGGAAAGCAGGGGAUCUUCGGACCUUGCGUUAUUCGAGCGGCCGACGUCUGAUUAGCUAGUUGGUGGGGUAAAGGCCUACCAAGGCGACGAUCAGUAGCGGGUCUGAGAGGAUGAUCCGCCACACUGGAACUGAGACACGGUCCAGACUCCUACGGGAGGCAGCAGUGGGGAAUUUUGGACAAUGGGGGCAACCCUGAUCCAGCCAUUCCGCGUGAGUGAAGAAGGCCUUCGGGUUGUAAAGCUCUUUCAGCAGGAACGAAACGGUACGCUCUAACAUAGUGCGCUAAUGACGGUACCUGCAGAAGAAGCACCGGCUAACUACGUGCCAGCAGCCGCGGUAAUACGUAGGGUGCGAGCGUUAAUCGGAAUUACUGGGCGUAAAGCGUGCGCAGGCGGAUUGUUAAGCAAGACGUGAAAUCCCCGGGCUUAACCUGGGAAUGGCGUUUUGAACUGGCAGUCUAGAGUGUGUCAGAGGGGGGUAGAAUUCCACGUGUAGCAGUGAAAUGCGUAGAGAUGUGGAGGAAUACCGAUGGCGAAGGCAGCCCCCUGGGAUAACACUGACGCUCAUGUACGAAAGCGUGGGUAGCAAACAGGAUUAGAUACCCUGGUAGUCC